RNAcentral lists this long non-coding RNA (852 nucleotides) under Mus caroli (Ryukyu mouse). RNAcentral's name for it is "predicted gene 13066 (MGP_CAROLIEiJ_G0003603.1)". The record is from RNAcentral. Lineage: Eukaryota; Metazoa; Chordata; Mammalia; Rodentia; Muridae.
UAUCAGCAGCAACGUGCAUCUGUGCCUAGGAAGGCAGCGCCCUGAGGGUGCCUGCUGCAGGGCCAGAGGCCCUGGGAGACCCUUUUGCUUCCAUUGCUCAAGUGACCUGCCUCUUCUUAAGUGACCUACUUCCUUUUACAGACUCCUGAGUUAGACAGUUCAAGAGGCUGAGCUGAGAACCACUGCUAAGACAGAGCACACACCAUCACCAGGGCUUGGCCUCGAGGCAGUCACAGGAACCAACUGAAGCUGGCAACACCCGACUUUAGAUACAAUCACACAGGCCCAAGGGACCAGCCACAUCUCCAGGCCACACUGCGCCAGCAGAACAAGUAUCCGUCUGUCAGUGUGAGUUCAUACCGUGCCGGCUCACACAUGCUGCUCCUCUCCAGCAAUGACGCUCUCCUCUCAGGCUCUUGCUGGUCAGGCUGGGGUUGGCGGAGUUGAUUCUCCACUGUCCUUGCUCCCUGGAGCUCAAUGGCCAAAGCGAGCAUGUUACUGUCAGCUAACAGGGCCGAUGUGCUGAAGGACCAGAUGUUCACAUUCUCCUCCUGGAACAAGUCUGGGAAGCUUGAACCGUCCACCAACAGGGAGGUGCCCCAGGGCUUGAACUCAAGACCUGCUGGCACUGGCGUCCUGCACACUCCCUGCCACACGGGAGGCCUAAGCCCCAAGAAGGGAAAAGUUGCUCCAGUGUUUUCCGGAUCAUGGUGUCCGGGACCAGAAAGGGCCGUCAUCGUUUCUCUCACUCCCAGGAAAGGCAUGGUGGGCAUAGGAUGACCACCCAGAUCUUUCUUCUCAGUCGCUGCUCUAAAAUGUGACCCUUGGGCUGGAUCUGAGUAGCCGGUGGGG